RNAcentral lists this ribosomal RNA (161 nucleotides) under uncultured bacterium. RNAcentral's name for it is "partial 16S ribosomal RNA". It matches the Rfam family "Bacterial small subunit ribosomal RNA", at positions 1340 to 1500 of the family's 1533-position model. The record is from RNAcentral.
AAUCGCAGAUCAGCAUGCUGCGGUGAAUACGUUCCCGGGUCUUGUACACACCGCCCGUCACACCAUGGGAGCCGGGAAUGCCCGAAGUCAGCGGCCCAACCGAAAGGAGGGAGCUGCCGAAGGCAGGCCUGGUGACUGGGGUGAAGUCGUAACAAGGUAGC